GAACUCAGGGAACUGAAACAUCUAAGUACCUGAAGGAAGAGAAAGAAAUUCGAUUCCGUAAGUAGCGGCGAGCGAACGCGGAUUAGCCCAAACCAAUAAAGUUUUCUUUAUUGGGGUUGAGGACAUAUCAUAACGAAGAGGUAUCGUAAUUGAAGAGGUUUGGAAAGACCCACCACAGAAGGUAAUAGUCCUGUAUGUUAAACGAGAAGACCUUUAGGUAUGAUCCAGAGUACCACGGGACACGUG
RNAcentral lists this ribosomal RNA (246 nucleotides) under Clostridioides difficile. RNAcentral describes it as "partial 23S ribosomal RNA". It matches the Rfam family "Bacterial large subunit ribosomal RNA", at positions 181 to 428 of the family's 2925-position model. The record is from RNAcentral. Lineage: Bacteria; Bacillati; Bacillota; Clostridia; Peptostreptococcales; Peptostreptococcaceae.